Portunus trituberculatus (swimming crab) is the source of this 702-nucleotide long non-coding RNA. RefSeq lists it as uncharacterized. The record is from RefSeq and is a predicted model, not a curated record. The transcript has 2 exons. NCBI's taxonomy places the organism in Eukaryota, Metazoa, Arthropoda, Malacostraca, Decapoda, Portunidae.
GGGUUCAAUAAAAUUGCAUAUAAAUCUUACCAUGUCCUUGUGUGAUGACAUGCAACUCUCAAGUAGCUAACUUAAACUCAUUACUUCGAGGUCAAGACACGCGAAUAGGGUAACCAACCCGUACAUGCCAGAAAGGACUUUUUUUCUAUGGCAGUUUCAACGCGUCCCCACGAAAUAGCUCAAGUUCACAACCCGACACCGUCCGCGGCCACAGGUAUAAAGGAGCGGUCUGACAGGACACCAGCACAGACCAGCUGAGUUUGCCUGAGACACCACUUCUCCCAACUCUCCAAAAUGAAGUUUAUGUAUCUAGCUUUCGUCACCAUGGUGGCACUGUCUGUAGUGUUCGCUGCCCCAGAGCCACACAAAAGAAAGGAGGUGGCUUCCUGUCGCGACCAGUGCACCGUGUGGUGCAUCCUGUGGUGCACCACCGCCCUGUAGUACAUCACCGCCCUGUCGUGCACCACCGUCCUGUCGUGCAACACGUGCCCGUGGUGAAGCAUGUUCCCGUGGUACAGCACGUCCCUGUAGUGAGGCACCCUGUCGUGCACCACGGUCCCGUGCUGAAGGGCGGCCACAAGCUGAAGCACGGCUAGAUGACAACAAUUGUAUUGGGAAGGAAGAUUGCCACUACCUUCGGAUAUUCUUCAUCUUCACCGCCAUCUUCUGACGCACUGGCAGGCUCAUGCCAUUCAUCUCUCA